RNAcentral lists this ribosomal RNA (519 nucleotides) under uncultured bacterium. RNAcentral describes it as "bacterial SSU rRNA". It matches the Rfam family "Bacterial small subunit ribosomal RNA", at positions 8 to 518 of the family's 1533-position model. The record is from RNAcentral.
AGAGUUGAUCAUGGCUCAGAACGAACGCUGGCGGCGCGUUUAAGCAUGCAAGUCGAGCGGCAAGGGCCUUCGGGCCCCUAGAGCGGCGGACGGGUGAGUAACACGUGGACAAUCUGCCCCCCGGCCCGGGAUAGCCCAGGGAAACCUGGAUUAAUACCGGAUGAGACGGGACCCGCGAUGGCGGGACCCGGGAAAGGCGCUGCGGCGCCGCCGGGGGAUGAGUCUGCGUCCCAUUAGCUAGACGGCGGGGUAACGGCCCACCGUGGCGACGAUGGGUAGCCGGCCUGAGAGGGUGGACGGCCACAUUGGAACUGAGACACGGUCCAGACUCCUACGGGAGGCAGCAGCUAAGAAUCUUCCGCAAUGGGCGAAAGCCUGACGGAAGCGACGCCGCGUGAACGAAGAAGGCCGUGAGGUUGUAAAGUUCUUUUCGGGAGGGGGAACAACCGUGGCAGGGAAUGGCCGCGGGAUGACGUGAAUCCCGGAAUAAGCCCCGGCUAACUACGUGCCAGCCGCGGC